ACGCUGGCUACAGGCUUAACACAUGCAAGUCGAGGGGAAACGACGGGGAAGCUUGCUUCCCCGGGCGUCGACCGGCGCACGGGUGAGUAACGCGUAUCCAACCUGCCUCUGACUGAGGGAUAACCCGUCGAAAGUCGGCCUAAUACCUCAUGGCAUCGUCUGCGGGCAUCCAACGACGAUUAGAGAUUUCAUCGGUCAGGGAUGGGGAUGCGUCUGAUUAGCUUGUUGGCGGGGUAACGGCCCACCAAGGCGACGAUCAGUAGGGGUUCUGAGGGGAAGGUCCCCCACAUUGGAACUGAGACACGGUCCAAACUCCUACGGGAGGCAGCAGUGAGGAAUAUUGGUCAAUGGGCGAGAGCCUGAACCAGCCAAGUAGCGUGCAGGAAGACGGCCCUAUGGGUUGUAAACUGCUUUUAUGCGGGGAUAAAGUGAGGGACGUGUCCUUCAUUGCAGGUACCGCAUGAAUAAGGACCGGCUAAUUCCGUGCCAGCAGCCGCGGUAAUACGGAAGGUCCGGGCGUUAUCCGGAUUUAUUGGGUUUAAAGGGAGCGUAGGCCGUGGAUUAAGCGUGUUGUGAAAUGCAGGUGCUCAACGUCUGCACUGCAGCGCGAACUGGUCCACUAGAGUGUGCACAACGCAGGCGGAAUUCGUCGUGUAGCGGUGAAAUGCUUAGAUAUGACGAAGAACUCCGAUUGCGAAGGCAGCUUGCGGGAGCACAACUGACGCUGAAGCUCGAAAGUGCGGGUAUCGAACAGGAUUAGAUACCCUGGUAGUCCGCACGGUAAACGAUGGAUGCCCGUUGUCAGGCUGUUUCAGCCUGGUGACCAAGCGAAAGCAUUAAGCAUCCCACCUGGGGAGUACGCCGGCAACGGUGAAACUCAAGGAAUUGACGGGGGCCCGCACAAGCGGAG
RNAcentral lists this ribosomal RNA (910 nucleotides) under uncultured bacterium. Its description in RNAcentral is "bacterial SSU rRNA". It matches the Rfam family "Bacterial small subunit ribosomal RNA", at positions 33 to 934 of the family's 1533-position model. The record is from RNAcentral.